UUUACUCCACUCCUCGCAUGUCAGCCAAUCGGUGAAGCUCUAGGCAGCUCUUGUCCCUCCUUAGUGCCAGCUCCCAAGUUUGCAGUCUCUUGCUUCUACAGCCGAACAGAGCAGGCGGACUAAAACUUUGUUAUCGAGGGCAGAGCGAAACCGGAAGGUUUACUGAGCUGUGGCUUCACGUAAACGCUGAGCAUACACUCGACGGCGGUCAGGUUUUUUAUAUGGGACGAAUCCAAAGACCAGGUCAGCGAUUCCAGAACCCAGAGUGUUCCAGUGUUCACUGGAUGGCGAACCAACCCAAGAUCCUAGGAGACGAUAUACAUACACACGCACACUCAUUUGCACAUUGAUGGACUACAAUCAUCUACUGUACAAGUAGUACGGUAGGAUAGACAAUCACACACACUCCUCAUCGGACGAACUCUAUUGCAAUACACCCGUUUGUCAUGGGCCCCACCGGUACCAUUUGGACUUAAAAAAGACUAAUACUUUUACUUGUGCACAAUUUUAUUUUAUUCUAUUGUUUUGCUACUUUGGGGGAAAUUUUAUACUUGAAGUUCUGUUAAAACUGUUGUAAUAUUGUGUUGUUUACAAAUUUCUUUUAUAAGGCUUAAAAUCACUAAAGCACUUUUAAGCCACACCACUGUGUUUAUCUGGUUUUUCUGCCAUUCAUGUACCAGAGCUCUAAGAGUCGUUCUUUAUCUUCUGAUACUAGCCCAAAUUACUUAUUACC
Molecule: long non-coding RNA, 733 nt
Organism: Oreochromis aureus
Lineage: Eukaryota; Metazoa; Chordata; Actinopteri; Cichliformes; Cichlidae
Exons: 3
Source: RefSeq, a predicted model, not a curated record